RNAcentral lists this non-coding RNA (21 nucleotides) under Caenorhabditis elegans. Lineage: Eukaryota; Metazoa; Nematoda; Chromadorea; Rhabditida; Rhabditidae. The record is from RNAcentral.
UGGUUUUUUUCUUUCCAGUGA